GUAGAUAUGGCGAAAUGGUCAACGCAUCGGGUUGUGGCUCCGACAUGUGCGGGUUCGAUUCCCGUUAUCUACCCCA
Molecule: transfer RNA, 76 nt
Filed under: Mycoplasma sp.
Lineage: Bacteria; Bacillati; Mycoplasmatota; Mollicutes; Mycoplasmatales; Mycoplasmataceae
Description: tRNA-His
Rfam family: tRNA
About the family: Transfer RNA (tRNA) molecules are approximately 80 nucleotides in length. Their secondary structure includes four short double-helical elements and three loops (D, anti-codon, and T loops). Further hydrogen bonds mediate the characteristic L-shaped molecular structure. tRNAs have two regions of fundamental functional importance: the anti-codon, which is responsible for specific mRNA codon recognition, and the 3' end, to which the tRNAs corresponding amino acid is attached (by aminoacyl-tRNA synthetases). tRNAs cope with the degeneracy of the genetic code in two manners: having more than one tRNA (with a specific anti-codon) for a particular amino acid; and 'wobble' base-pairing, i.e. permitting non-standard base-pairing at the 3rd anti-codon position.
Source: RNAcentral